Molecule: long non-coding RNA, 959 nt
Filed under: Struthio camelus australis
Lineage: Eukaryota; Metazoa; Chordata; Aves; Struthioniformes; Struthionidae
Description: lncRNA (ENSSCUG00000011039.1)
Source: RNAcentral
CCUGUUCCUCCUCUUUUAUUCACAUUAGCGAAGAGAACAGGUGACGGAAUGUCUCCUCUGCAAUAUUGCAUUUUUUCCUUAAAGAUUUCCUACUUUAACUUCCUGUCUAGGAAGUAUUUUGACUUGUUAGUCUUGCAUUGCCAUAAAAUGUUUCCCUUCAACUUUCCCAGCUUCUGCAACUGGUCUGCAGUAGAAUCAGAAUCACCCUCCACUUCCAAAGACUAUGCGCAGUUGCUAGAAGCAAAUGAAAGAAAUAAUACUUUUUGUUGCUACUGAGAGAUAGGCUCAGAGAAAAAUCUUAGAGGGACUCCGUCCAUGAAGGUCUUCUUGGAAGAUGAAGAUACUAAUCUCCCGCUUUCUGGAACUUGGCCUCAAAUAUGGACUGAGGUUACAAGAGAAAAAAGAAAAUCUGACAAUUUUAUUCUUCUUUUACCUUUGUAAUAGAAUCACUAUUAUAUUAUCUGGUAAAGUUUAGAAUACAGAGGAGCUUCUGUUCAAGAAGCUCAAAAUUGAAAUACCAGAGGUGUAACACAGCAGGACAAGGUGAAUAGAUAUAAAAACUGUGGAAGCUUAUGUUAUGCCUGUCAGUACCACCCAACAUCAGAGCUCUCCUUUAUUAUUUUCUUCAUUAAAUCUAUCCACAAGUAUUUUAAAUUACUGCCUUUAAACUUCAAACUUGUAAGUUAAGUAAAUGGCAUAUUUUCUAAGAAAUCCAUUCUUGUACUGCUGCUGCUCAUUUACUUUACGGUUUUAGGUAGAUAACAACAUAGACCAUAUCCUGUUGCGCAGUCUUUGAAAGAUCUGUAAGUAUCACAAUUUAGUUGCAUGUGUCCCAGCCUCACUUGAUGCUUUGAAGGAUGCUUUUGCUAACCUACAUACAUUUAAAAACAGAGUAAGUGGGUUUCCUCUCCUUUUUUAGAGUGCAGUCUUUGCAGAAUAAAACAAUUUAAUUGCAUGCA